GGAUCACAACGGCUUCCUGACGUGAUCCGAGAUAUUAUUGGAGCG
Molecule: non-coding RNA, 45 nt
Filed under: unclassified sequences
Description: SAM-SAH-Weickhmann-2018 RNA
Rfam family: SAM/SAH riboswitch aptamer
Source: RNAcentral